AGAGCCAUCCUUGGAAGUGUGAGCGACCAUUGUGCCAAACAUGCAAAAUGUCCAGUGGUGAUCGUGAAGCAGCCAGAGGAAAAUUGACUUAAUUUCCUGCCACAAACUUUCCAAGGGAUGAUUCCAUCUUUCUGCUAGAAUCUUGUACAUAUACAUAGAAUACACUUAUCUGCUUAUAAAAGAGCCAGCCCUUGUAUCACAAAUCCAUUUCAUUCCGUCUAGCAGGAACUAUGAAAAGAGAAAUUAUUCAGUGCAUCUUCUGAUUAUAAGAACAGUGCAUUGAUUUCUCACACUCUUCCCGAAUUCACGUGAUUUGAGCAUAGUAGAAUUUCCCCUGCUAUGGUGUUUGCAUUAUCAUCUACUCUGUGUGUUCAAAGAAAAAGCAGAUACAGCCAUCUCACAGUGACGUAUCAACACAAAUUGUCAAGGUGUUGGUCCCACCAGCUAGCUCCAACAGAAGUGAUACCCUGCAUACAGGCCUAAUCCACACGAGCUUAACACAAAUUUACCCGCAGCGAGACUUAUUCAAAUUAUAGAAAUACCAACUACGGCAAAUAGCCAAUGAAAACAGAGUUGAAGUCGAAUCAAACGACAAAAUUGGUUUACUUCAGUAUAAGAAAAUUUGUUUUAAUUUUGAUUUGAUUAUUAAUUCAUAAAAUUUUCAGUCUUCAAUUCAGUCAUCUUAAAAAUGGCAACAAGGAUGACCAAAACAAAAUAUUUAUUAAUUAAUAUAUAAAUCAUAUAUAACCUUUUGUUAUUGUUAUAUUUUUAGUAAAUAAUCUAACCAAACUAUGUUGAGCAUGCAUAAACUAAAAAGCUAGGCAUCCGUUACAGAAUUAGGCCACUACAUAAUAACCCCAACCUUAGAGAAUUAGCAACCCUGUGAGCAGAGUCAUUUGCCGAUCUGUAGAUAAAAAUAACAAUAACAGAAGGAAGAUCUGUUCACAUCCUGAAUGAUAGCCUCUAACUCCCUGGGAAGCGAAGCUAGAGGAGCAGAAAUGAUCUGAGCCAACUGAGGACAAUCAGUUUCUAUUGUAGCAUUCUGAAAACCUCUACUGAUACUAAAGGAAACAGCAGCUCAUCAAGAAAAAACUUCUGCAGCAAGGGCUGAGGAGCUAACAAAAGAUCCUGCACAUCCAUCAAAAAGAUGACCUGUCGCAUUUCGAACGACUACUCCAUACCCAGCCAAACCUGCACCUUGCUCAUAAGAAGCAUCUACGUUAAUUUUAAAGACUCCUGCAGAGGGGGUGUGAGGGCGGGGUGG
This 1264-nucleotide unclassified non-coding RNA is filed under the name Hevea brasiliensis (rubber tree). Lineage: Eukaryota; Viridiplantae; Streptophyta; Magnoliopsida; Malpighiales; Euphorbiaceae. The record is from RNAcentral.